This 528-nucleotide long non-coding RNA is filed under the name Malus domestica (apple). RNAcentral's name for it is "long non-coding RNA (MDOM_LNC016238)". The record is from RNAcentral. Lineage: Eukaryota; Viridiplantae; Streptophyta; Magnoliopsida; Rosales; Rosaceae.
UUUUCACCGAACACUCAUUCGAACACUUUGGCAAAAAUCCCAAAAAACUCUCCAAAUACUUUUCUCUCUAAAUUCUAACUUUGGCAUAAGAGGUUCUUCCGCCAAAGCCCCCCCAUUCAUCAUGGGCGCGUGAGGCUCUUGGCUUUGACCUAAGGUGUUAAUUGUUUUGCAGGUGCAAUUUUGUCCAAGAAGAAGAAGGCGGAAAUUUGCAUCCACAAAUUGGUGUUUUCAUUGAGAGUUGAGAUUCACACUCGUAGAAGACUCUCGCGCAAAAAGGUUUUUACUCUAUUUUCUCUAUUUUCUAGUUCACUUGUAUUUUUCGUACAUUCUUAUUAUUAGAAUUUUUUAUUUGCCAAGAUUCUUUGAUAAAAUGUAAAAGAGAAAUACAAUGGCUAGAAAUUUAGAAAAUUCCACAAGUGAAAAUUCCAAUAUUCAAGAAAUGGGAUCGCGGCGAUCCACGAGACUAAACGUGAUCUUAGGGGGAGCGGCACCACCACCACAAGGCUCCACCAUGGCAACCACCGAGGU